Long non-coding RNA from Sinocyclocheilus grahami, 892 nucleotides. RefSeq lists it as uncharacterized. The record is from RefSeq and is a predicted model, not a curated record. The transcript has 3 exons. NCBI's taxonomy places the organism in Eukaryota, Metazoa, Chordata, Actinopteri, Cypriniformes, Cyprinidae.
CUGCUCCUCUAUAAAGAGCUCCAACCUGAGCCGUUCAGUCCUACACAUAUCUUCAAAAAAGUCACACAACUCUUGUGCACAUUGCUCUCAGACUGGGACCUUCAUUAUCAGUGAGACUCUGAAAAUGGGUACAUAUUGGGCACAAUAUCAAGAAGCUGAAGUGGAGAAAAAACAAUACAAGGAAGAUUUGGACCAAUUAAAAUCAAAAGAAGAAAAACAAAGAAAAAUACACGAGAAGAACAAGGAAGAUUUGGACCAAUUAAAAUUAAAAGAAGAAAAACAAAGAAAAAUACACAAGAAGAACAAGGAAGAAUUGGACCAAUUAAAAUUAAAAGAAGAAAAACUAAGAAAAAUACACGAGAAGAACAAGGAAGAAUUGGAUAAUUUUAAAUUAAGAGAGGAAGAAAAGAGAAAAAUAGAUGAGAACAACAGAUCUAGAGAACAAGACGAGAAGAAGAGAAUUCAUCAAGCAAUCUUAACUUCACAAACUGACACCUAAUGUACAACACUAUCACCUGAUAUAACAGUUCAUAAAGAAUGUUGAAACUGUUAUUAAUGCAAGACCUUCGUUUUUCUUUUAUAACCAGUAAAUAGGAUUACUAAUAGUAAUUUGGAGUACUGUAUUUUGUAGCACUCUUUCUUGCUGUUGAAAAGGAUGAAAAAAAUUGUAUGCUUAUCUUCUGUAUGCUUCUAUAUUGCCUGCUUACAUAUUAUAUAAUCCUCGAGUCCUUUAGGAAUGAUCUUGAUGCACUUCAUUUAAACAUUUUAUACUCUUUUAUUAUGUGUUAUUAAACUCUAUUGCUGUCAGAUAUGAGCAUACCUAUAAUAUUUUGUUGUUGCAUCACCUUAAAAACAAAAAAUAAACACAUUUGUAUGGCCAUUCACCCAAACA